Molecule: long non-coding RNA, 1004 nt
Organism: Calidris pugnax (ruff)
Lineage: Eukaryota; Metazoa; Chordata; Aves; Charadriiformes; Scolopacidae
Exons: 3
Source: RefSeq, a predicted model, not a curated record
GGGAGAUCCAUGGUCGCGGGUUCGCGGACGGGAGUGGGCGGUGUGAGGGGCCUUGGGCUGGAAGGGCCCUGCUUUAAGCCGGCGUUGGGCCUGAAUCGUCCCGAAUCCCUUCAGCAGCGGCUUAGCCGGCUCUGACGCAGGUUUCCAGCCGUUUAACGUCGAUUAACGGGUCAAUCCCGGGAGACCCGGAGGGAUUAGGGGCAGGCCGGGCUCCCCAGCGCCGCCUGGCCCCGGGAGAAGCCGCUCUCCUCAGGGCUGCAGGCCCUGCUGCAAGAAGGACGCAGGCUGCAAUCGAGCUGGAGGGUUUAUUUAGCAUCUGCGAGCAAGAACAAAACCACCUUUAUUUUUCUCUUUUAUUUUUGGCUAGGAAGGAAACCAAACGUAAAUCAGCUGUGGGAGCACGAAAGCACAGACUGGGCUGGCUGCUGGACCUCAUCUCCGGUGGCCGUGGGCAGGCACAACGAGCGACAGAUGCAGCUCGAGGGCAGCGGAGGAGGAUCCAGCCUGAUUUUUCAAGAGGUUUUUUUGCUACCACAGGAGCUGUUUCCCCAAGACAGGAGGUGCCCGGUUCGGUGGGGCUGGCUGAGCCUGGAGAAAAGCCGCUGCCUCGGGGCUGUCGGAGCAGCGCCAUCGGAGAACCAGGAUGCCCAGGUCUGCAGACCUCCCGAUCUGUGUCCUGUGCCUGGGCAACAGCAUCUUUGCAGGUUUUCUAAGGAAAUAUCUUUUUUUUUUCUGUUUUUUGCCCUCUCUCCCCUCCUUAUACCCGCUCCCUGGGUAAGUGCCAACAUGGAUUGAGGCCCCUUCAUUGCCAUGAGCUCGGCAGAGGCAUCACUUCUUGCAACAGAAGGUUUUUGGGGCCUUGUGGGUAGGAAAAGCCCAACUCUGGUUUUCCUGAAAGCCCACUCGAGGGUUUUAUGUGAGAUUCCUGCACAGCUGGCCUGCCCUGCCGAGACCUGUUCAACUUGGGUUUGAAAACCUGGCCAUAACAUUUUAAAUAAAAUAAA